ACUGUCAGACACAACCUCGUGAGUGAUCAGCUGUGUGAAGGUGGAUUUGACGCUGAGGCGACACGUUUGAAGGAUGACCCUGAACUUGGAUCUCCACAACGUCUUCCAGAGGAGAAGGACCUCAACAUCCUGGCAAAUAGAGGCCCAGAUAGCCACGGAUGUGAUCUCAGCACCCCCCCAAACCCCAGCAGCAGCACAGAGGAACAACAUCCUCAUGAGAGCACUGCUGAUGCUGCUGAGGGAAACGACCAGGAGAGGAAGGUGAUGGAGAAAGAGAAGAAGAAAAGAAGUGGUGGAGGGUGGCCUCUUUCUACGGAGCUGUGAAGAAACAUCUGAAGCGCAGCUCGAACCCAGUUCAGGGUGAAGAAGAGCUGAAGCAAGAGCAAGAGCAGCAGAGAGAGAAAGUGAAGAACCAGAAAGAACAGAAAGCCAGAUGCAGUGAUGACUUCAUUUCCAGCCACUACCAGCUGGGUGAUCUGCUGGGUGAAGGUGGAUUUGGUUCUGUGUAUGAGGCGAGACGUUUGGAGGAUGACCUUAAAGUGGCGGUCAAAUAUGUUAAUAAGACCGAAACCUACAGGCCAAGUUUAUACAUUCCUGGAUAUCAGCAACAUGUUCCACUGGAGAUCGCCCUCACAAUCCUGGCUAAUAAAGGCCCCAGAGUGCCAGAGAUCAUCCAGCUGCUGGACUGGAAGGACUACAAUGACCAUUUCGUCAUGAUCCUUGAAUGUCCCUCUCCUUGCGAGACUUUGGAAGACUUUGUGGGGCGUCAGGGUGGACGUCUCAACGAGAGCUUAGCACGGCGAGUCAUGAUGCAGGUGACUAAAGCUGCGAACGUGUGCUGCCAGCGCCAAGU
Carassius auratus (goldfish) is the source of this 853-nucleotide long non-coding RNA. RefSeq lists it as uncharacterized. Lineage: Eukaryota; Metazoa; Chordata; Actinopteri; Cypriniformes; Cyprinidae. The transcript is spliced from 5 exons. The record is from RefSeq and is a predicted model, not a curated record.